Molecule: long non-coding RNA, 1106 nt
Filed under: Struthio camelus australis
Lineage: Eukaryota; Metazoa; Chordata; Aves; Struthioniformes; Struthionidae
Description: lncRNA (ENSSCUG00000008051.1)
Source: RNAcentral
CCCUGUGCAGUACAGCUGAUGAUGAGUUGUUACUCAAAGGUCUGGUAAAGCCGUGCUCAGAUCCCAAGCUUGUCAGAAAAACAGCAGGAGGCAAGCACAAAUAAUGGAAGCAAAUGUACACUGAGAACUGGGGUGUCAUGCUUCUAAGCUCCUGCCUGUCCUUGGAGAAAGGGACUGUAAAACUGCACUGACAGGUACGGCUGGUUGGAAGGAAGAAAGCCGCAGCCAGUCGUGGCGGCGCUGCGAGAGGCUGAAGAGGGCUGACGAGUGUCAUCACCAGCUGGAGCCAGGCCAACGCGCAAAGUGCAAGGCAGCACGGGGAACGGCAGCAAGCGGCCUGGGGCGUGCGAGCUAUUUUGGUAAGCUUUAUUGACCACGAAGCAUUUUCUUUUUUAUUUCUUACAAAGAUGGUUUUCAGGUAGCACUUAAUGAAUCACUUUCCUUACAACUAAACAGCAGAAAACAUUCUUCAAUCAACAGAACCCUCUCUUUGCACUGAAGAUAGUUUUCUCACGGUUGUUUUUCCUUUUUAAGUCUCAUUUCUAGCUGUUGCAUAUGCACAGUGCUCAAAAUAGCUGAGAAUUUGGAAGCCAUGUUAUGGAUUUCUAGGUUUUAAAGAACUUUCUGACUUGGAAAUGGGAUUGGAUAGAAAAAGGUAAUGAAAGGGGCAUUUUAUUGAUUUACUUCUUGAGAGUGCGAGAUCAGCAUUAGGAGUUUAUCUUUUGGGCGGGGUGGAGGGUGUCUACUCCGGACCACAGUAGGUAAUAGUUUUACAAAAAACAAUAACUGAAUGGAAAUCUAUUGUAAUUCCUGCUUGACCUACUCACUCUACAGAAGACAGCUGCCAUAAUUUUACAUGCACUUCCAGCAUCAGCUGUUGAUCUAAUCGGCUUUGGAAGGCCAGCUCUCCUCGUGACAGCUCUGAGGAAUACAGACACAUGGCAGAAGUGGCAGUGAUGUUUCAACAAGCGACACCCUUUCCUCAGUCAGCAUGAAGAAAAUGCCAGGGAAGUGAGAGAGACACCACCUUUAAAUAAGACUUAAAACCUGAACCCCCUUAAAACUGAGACACACUCUGCAGUGUACACACAAUGAAUAUGUGUAUG